Molecule: ribosomal RNA, 893 nt
Filed under: Klebsiella oxytoca
Lineage: Bacteria; Pseudomonadati; Pseudomonadota; Gammaproteobacteria; Enterobacterales; Enterobacteriaceae
Description: partial 23S ribosomal RNA
Rfam family: Bacterial large subunit ribosomal RNA
Source: RNAcentral
AUAGGGGAGCCGCAGGGAAACCGAGUCUUAACUGGGCGUUAAGUUGCAGGGUAUAGACCCGAAACCCGGUGAUCUAGCCAUGGGCAGGUUGAAGGUUGGGUAACACUAACUGGAGGACCGAACCGACUAAUGUUGAAAAAUUAGCGGAUGACUUGUGGCUGGGGGUGAAAGGCCAAUCAAACCGGGAGAUAGCUGGUUCUCCCCGAAAGCUAUUUAGGUAGCGCCUCGUGAACUCAUCUUCGGGGGUAGAGCACUGUUUCGGCUAGGGGGUCAUCCCGACUUACCAACCCGAUGCAAACUACGAAUACCGAAGAAUGUUAUCACGGGAGACACACGGCGGGUGCUAACGUCCGUCGUGAAGAGGGAAACAACCCAGACCGCCAGCUAAGGUCCCAAAGUCAUGGUUAAGUGGGAAACGAUGUGGGAAGGCCCAGACAGCCAGGAUGUUGGCUUAGAAGCAGCCAUCAUUUAAAGAAAGCGUAAUAGCUCACUGGUCGAGUCGGCCUGCGCGGAAGAUGUAACGGGGCUAAACCAUGCACCGAAGCUGCGGCAGCGACGCUUAUGCGUUGUUGGGUAGGGGAGCGUUCUGUAAGCCGUUGAAGGUGGCCUGUGAGGGUUGCUGGAGGUAUCAGAAGUGCGAAUGCUGACAUAAGUAACGAUAAUGCGGGUGAAAAACCCGCACGCCGGAAGACCAAGGGUUCCUGUCCAACGUUAAUCGGGGCAGGGUGAGUCGACCCCUAAGGCGAGGCCGAAAGGCGUAGUCGAUGGGAAACAGGUUAAUAUUCCUGUACUUGGUGUUACUGCGAAGGGGGGACGGAGAAGGCUAUGUUGGCCGGGCGACGGUUGUCCCGGUUUAAGCAUGUAGGCGGAUGUUCCAGGUAAAUCCGGAACGU